Molecule: ribosomal RNA, 400 nt
Filed under: uncultured Syntrophomonas sp.
Lineage: Bacteria; Bacillati; Bacillota; Clostridia; Eubacteriales; Syntrophomonadaceae
Description: bacterial SSU rRNA
Rfam family: Bacterial small subunit ribosomal RNA
Source: RNAcentral
CAGGUCUUGACAUCUGGCGAAUCCUGUAGAAAUACGGGAGUGCCUUUUAGGAGCGCCAAGACAGGUGGUGCAUGGUUGUCGUCAGCUCGUGUCGUGAGAUGUUUGGGUUAAGUCCCGCAACGAGCGCAACCCCUGCUAUUAGUUGCUAACAUUAAGCUGAGCACUCUAAUGGGACUGCCUGUGACAAGCAGGAGGAAGGUGGGACGACGUCAAAUCAUCAUGCCCUUUAUGAUCUGGGCUACACACGUGCUACAAUGGGUGGUACAGAGAGCAGCGAGACCGUGAGGUGGAGCGAAUCUCAAAAAGCCAUUCUCAGUUCGGAUUGAAGUCUGCAACUCGACUUCAUGAAGUCGGAAUCGCUAGUAAUCGCGAAUCAGCAUGUCGCGGUGAAUGCGUUCCC